CUCUUACCUUGUAGUAUAGAAUUCCCCUAAGUUUUAGCUCGCAAUGUAUGCUAAGCUACAGAAAACAUUUCCCAGCCUCCCUACUACGUAGUGUGUGUGCUAGUUUUGAACAUGUUGCAACUUCUUGACACCCCUCCCAUAAAAAGGGGAAGUCUAAUUCCCAUGAAUAUGGGCCAGCCGUAGCGACUCUACUUCUACUAAAUAGAAUGUGGCAGAAGGAAUAUUGCAUGGCUUCCAAAGCCAGGUCAUAAAAGGUGACACAUCUCUGCCUGCUCUUUCUUUUGAGACACAUGCCUUAGGAGCUCUGAGCUGACAUGAAAGAAAUUGCAUUAGCCUGAAGCUGCCAUGCUAAAAAGACUAGGUAAAGAGGCCACAUAGAGACAGACAAGCCCCAAGUGUACCAUCCCCCACCUGUUUGUUUUCUCAACUGCAACCUUAAGACAUGUGAGUGAGUCUUCAGAUUAUUCCAGCCACUAGCUUUAUGCCACGUUUCAUGCGAAAUACACUCACUCCCUUCCGCUGAAGGCAUCAGGUUCAGGCUUGAGGCCCAGGAUCUUGUGAUAAAAAUCAAGUUCUCGUGUGAGUGAGGCUCCAUGAGUGUGGUUCCUGACGUACUGCUCAUCAGUUAACACUCCUCUUGACUGGAAGAUCUGUGUACUAAAGGGACGAGUUUUCUGUCUUCCCUAUACAAUAGUGGGCCUGGCACGAGAUGACUGUUCUGGACACUCUAAUUCAAAAAAGGGGAAACCAGGAGGCAUGUAACAGUCACUUGUCUAUGGUAUUUAUGGAAAAAGAAGGAUGACUCGGGCUGUCUCCAAGAAGCCACGGAGAAUGAUUCCCUGUUGGUGGAACUGAGUCCCCCUCAUGGGAUUGGUAACACAGGAUCAGCUGGAUUGCAGAAAUGCAUGAAGCAGAAAUGUAAAUAAUUUGGGCCAGAGGACCAAUUGUGGUGGCUUUAAACAUUUCCGCAAAUUCUUUGAUAAUCCUCCCAUGAAAAGGUGGAGUCUAAUUCUCCUCUCCCUCUAACAAAUAGGAUGUGUCAGAGGGGAUGCUUUGUGACUCCAAAACUAAGUCAUAAAAGGGGAUGCUACAGCUUUUGCUUGACUCUCUCUCCGGACGUGUUUUUGGAGCUCUGUAGCCACCAUACUGGAGGGACUUGUGGAGAAGCUAUAUCAAAAAAGAUGCCAAAGGAAGCCAAGCUGUGCCAACCCCAGCUAUUUGUGAAGAAUAGCUGGCUAGCUCUGUAAAACGUCCCCGGGCCUCUCAGAGUGAAUUUUGUCUAUGUCACACAAUCUGCAUAAUCAUACAGCUGGCAGAAAGGGAACCGUUGAUUGGAUAAAGAUUCACCUUUUAACCUCCUGGCCUGGAAGUGAUACCACUUCUGCUUACAAUCCACUGGCAAGAUCUAGUCACACAGCAUCACUUAUAAGCAAGGGAUGCUGGGAAAUGUAGCCCUUGGCUGGGCAACCGCCUGUUCAGUAACCACCCUACUUGAUGUAAGGGGAAAAGGAAGCUCCGGUGGACAGCUGGCUGUCUCUUGCCACAGCCUGACCCUCUGGCCCAGAAAUGUUCAUGAAGAUUCCUUCCCUCAAAUACCGAAAACUUGCCCCAGCCAAAAAAGAACACUAGAGGGAAUUAACUCAAAAUCCUAUUAGUUACUGCAUCCUUAGGGGCAAACCAGAUGGGGAGCCAACAAGAGACUACUCUCUCAGUACAGUCAAAAGAAGUCAAGGAUGGAUGAUCAGGAGGCUGAGGGGCCACCAUGCCAAUAAAAUGUCAUAAUCCCUUGCCCAGUUUUCAGCCUGAGCCAGUUUUUGGACCCAGGCCCACUGAUUGAAGAAAAAGACUGUGUUCCCAGGAGGCAGAACCCUGUAACACCAUACAAGUGUGUGUGGUCCUGGAUCUUCACCAAAGGGUUCUACCUGUGUAACUGAACUCUGAGGAAUACCCAAGCAUUUUGAUGACUUUUCGGCAAAGUCUUAGUAGACAUUAAUACCUAGAGACAGUAAUCACCAUCACAGGCCUCUGCUAGAGUGCAGGAAUACUGGGACCAGGUAAUAAAUGGAGACCUGGCCCGGAUUCAGCUUACAAUGGGUCCACUGGGUCUGUGGCCCCACCCCAUGGUUAUUUCCCUAGACCCCAAAUGUAUAAUGGAAAUAGACAUGCUUGGCAGUUGUACAACAUCACAUUGGUUCCUUGGCUUAGGGUAAGACCACCAUAGUGCAGAGGCCCAAGGAGAACACUCUGAAAUGAAUCCCCUCCAAGAUCAAGAUAGUGAAUCAAAACUGACAUGGCGUCCCCGGGGGGAAUGGAGAAACUAGUGUCAUCCCUCAAGAACUAGAGGAUUCAGAGUGAGGCCCCUGUCAUAUUGCCUUUAAAUGCACACGUCCAGACCAGACAAAUCUAGUGGGCUCAGGAAAAGUCAACCAAGUAAUAGUUCCAGUUGCAACUGUUGUGCCAGAUGUGGUAUCAUUGUUGGGUCAGCAUAGCUGGGCCUUAGUGCAGGUUACAUGUGACAACAUUCUUCCUUGGAAUCCUGUUUUUUUAAACUAAUUUCAAGUGACCUUAAAUCAGAAUGUAUA
This 2582-nucleotide long non-coding RNA is filed under the name Equus caballus (horse). RNAcentral describes it as "lncRNA (ENSECAG00000044508.1)". The record is from RNAcentral. Lineage: Eukaryota; Metazoa; Chordata; Mammalia; Perissodactyla; Equidae.